AAGGUUUACUCUGUUAUUUUUCGGAUUAAUUGGAAUGGUUGGGCUGUCCUUCAGUCCUACCAUCACGGCUUUCGCCUUUCCUGAAGCAUGGAAGGAAUACCGGAGAGAACGAACGCAACAGAUUCACCCCGAUAGAAGAAUUGACUAGAAGGCAAGAUUGUGUAAUCUUCUUAGAACAUUUAUAUUUGUUAAAAAAUUAUGUACACAGAAUAAACGAUUUAACAUUG
This is a long non-coding RNA of Fopius arisanus, 227 nucleotides long. RefSeq lists it as uncharacterized. The transcript is spliced from 2 exons. Lineage: Eukaryota; Metazoa; Arthropoda; Insecta; Hymenoptera; Braconidae. The record is from RefSeq and is a predicted model, not a curated record.